CCUGAGAAACCCAAAAGAUCGAAUGGGGAGAUUCAUCGUCAGCGGCGUUGGCUUCCGUGCGGUUCGCGAUGGCCGGGGCUUCGGCUCCGCGUCACGCGUCCGCUGCGGUAUGUCCGGCGUCGUCGGCGUGCACUUCUCCCCUAGUAGGACGUCGCGACCCGUUGGGUGCUGGCCUACGGCCCGGUUGGUCGACUGUCUCGUCGCGUUCGCGCGUACGAGGCAGACCAUCGGUCGCCCGGCCGGCUGCCCGGCGGUAUAGAUCGCUAAUUGAACGGUAUUGGGCCGCAUUAAGUGCGUUCCUGGCUCGUCGGCAGGCUCGUCUCGCUCGGAUUUACGGACCUAGUGCCGUUGCCGGGCGCUUGGCGUGGCCGUUAGUCGACGAUGUCCUCGGACUGGCUCUCAUAUUCGAACGGAUAUACCGGUCGGCGACGCUACUGCUUUGGGUACUUUC
This 451-nucleotide ribosomal RNA is filed under the name Platynocheilus cuprifrons. RNAcentral describes it as "eukaryotic LSU rRNA". Lineage: Eukaryota; Metazoa; Arthropoda; Insecta; Hymenoptera; Tetracampidae. The record is from RNAcentral.